UACGUAGGGGGCAAGCGUUAUCCGGAUUUACUGGGUGUAAAGGGGGCGCAGACGGCGAUGCAAGCCAGGAGUGAAAGCCCGGGGCCCAACCCCGGGACUGCUCUUGGAACUGCGUGGCUGGAGUGCAGGAGGGGCAGGCGGAAUUCCUGGUGUAGCGGUGAAAUGCGUAGAUACCAGGAGGAACACCGGUGGCGAAGGCGGCCUGCUGGACUGCAACUGACGUUGAGGCCCGAAAGCGUGGGGAGCAAACAGG
RNAcentral lists this ribosomal RNA (253 nucleotides) under uncultured bacterium. RNAcentral's name for it is "partial 16S ribosomal RNA". It matches the Rfam family "Bacterial small subunit ribosomal RNA", at positions 524 to 776 of the family's 1533-position model. The record is from RNAcentral.